CCUUUGUUUGACUGGCUUUGCUGGAUGGCCGUUCUCCGCGCUUAUUCUGUUUUCAUGACGUAAAUGCAGUAAUCUCUCUUUCUCCCCACGUGUUUCAGCAGGAGGGUUUCCAGGCUUUAUAAAGAAUGAGCUGCGGAUGCUGCAGAGAAGCGUGUACGAUCUGAAGGGAGAACUGCAGUCAUGAUGAAUGCACAUGCCGUUGUCCUCAGAGAUACCAAACUACUUCAUGGAGGACGAAGUGUGGCUGGUUUAAGGAAUGAUGUUGUUCCUGCUUCAGCUGGAAGUGUGCCUAGAAGUCAUCUGCAGCACAAGCAAUGCUAAACCGGCUAUCCCAUGUCAUGUGACCCCGCUGGCCUGAACACGCUGGGAUAACAAGAGGCCCCUGACACCACCACGGGACUGAGACCCAACACUAUAUAUAGCACAGAUGAGGGCUGAAGGUACAUCUCCAAAUACACCAGCUCUCUGGCCUCAAGAUUCCAUUAGUGAUCUGAUUUGGCCUACAUACACAUGUUCAUUCAGAGCUGGACUGAAGAUGGAGGAGAGCUGAUGUCCUGUGCUGGAUCUGUCCUGCUCCUGGUUUCGUUACUAAAAUCUCUGUUCACUUCGACAGACUGAGUGACCCAGUGGACAUCCUUCACCCAGAGCA
Molecule: long non-coding RNA, 649 nt
Organism: Onychostoma macrolepis
Lineage: Eukaryota; Metazoa; Chordata; Actinopteri; Cypriniformes; Cyprinidae
Exons: 4
Source: RefSeq, a predicted model, not a curated record